UACGUAGGGGGCAAGCGUUGUCCGGAUUUAUUGGGCGUAAAGAGCGUGUAGGCGGCCACACAGGUCUGCUGUGAAAACUCGAGGCUCAACCUCGAGACGCCGAUGGAAACCCCCUGGCUAGAGUCCGGAAGAGGAGAGUGGAAUUCCUGGUGUAGCGGUGAAAUGCGCAGAUAUCAGGAAGAACACCCGUGGCUAAGGCGGCUUUCUAGUACGGUACUGACGCUGAGACGCGAAAGCGUGGGGAGCGAACAGG
This 253-nucleotide ribosomal RNA is filed under the name uncultured bacterium. RNAcentral's name for it is "partial 16S ribosomal RNA". It matches the Rfam family "Bacterial small subunit ribosomal RNA", at positions 524 to 776 of the family's 1533-position model. The record is from RNAcentral.